GCGGCAUCGUGGAGACCACGGCGCCGUAAAGGAAAGGCCGCGUGGUCGUCUGCAGUGGGCCACAAACAGACUCCAUCAGCACUGUUGUGCGCGUGCAUGUGGGCGUCUCUUGCGUCUCUGGUGUGAAGACACGCGGGACAACUUAUCUGUUAUCGGCCCUUCGGCGAACUGCGGCCCAGAAGGAACGGCCGGCGAAUCCCCGCCGGAAGCGGAUAGAAGCCUUUAAUCGCUGAUGCUCGUGCACCCAGGCGAGCCGCGUUAACCGGAUUACGCGUUCACCUUUACCGAGCAGGCGGAGGGGCCCCCGAUCGAUAUGUGACUAAUGUGAUCGGCGAGUGCCGUCGCACUCCGCCUCCUGCUUUCAAUGAAAACGCCGCCGACCUACCGCGGCGCUGGCGGGAACACGUGAAUCCACGGUGGAGGAGAAAGUCCAAUGAGCCGCAUUGCUAACAGAUCAAAGUCCUGGUUGGUGACAAUCCAGCGUGCCAUCCAAGUGCGCUUUAAUGUUCCCGCUGCCCAGGAAGCAGGUGGCGCGAGCCGGGAAUAUCUCAUUAAAACACAGCAGAACGUCCAUUGUGCUCGCCGAUUCCUCAGUGCUGAAUUCCUCCCCCCCCCCACAUCCCGCCAAUGCAGCAGUGCCGCACAUCCAGAACUCACCGUUCGCCUCGCCGUUCUCUCCCUCCCCCCCCUCCCACACCCGCCUUCCUAAGUUUAAUGAAAUUGUCACAGCACCUUAUGAAAUCGGCACCGUGUAAGCAAUAACAUCUGGCAAAUAGAUGGCGCAUAUAAUGUCGGCUGAGCUUCGCUGCACACAGAGGCCGUUAACGGGCGGAGGGACGCGGCGGAUUGAUGAUCAACAGACGUCUCGGAGCGUGGGCCGAAAACCUGCAGAGCAAACGGAAAGGUAUGUUUUUAAAAAAGGCUCAGGAGUUAAUUGUCGUUGCAUGUGUCGAUGUCGCUGAGUGACGGCGGUGCAUGAUGUCGUGCAGAAGCCAUUCCACUACAUCUGUGUUGUGCAUAAUGAAACUGCCUUUUCUGUUGAUUCAUUUGUGAUGAUGUAACGAUGACGUCAGGGGGCGUCGGCUAUUUAAAUGUCACCUGAGUAAGGCCAGGUGUGAGAUACUAUUUUUGACCGCAUUACGCAUUGAACUCUCCGUUUAUUAUGAGUGUGAUUUAGGUUGUUUUUGCCAAACAAUGAAUAAAAGAAUAUUGAAGCGACAAUACGAGCAAAUGCGCGUUGAUUUUUGGACAUACUUUAAAGUCUAAACCUUCACGGAAACUUGAAAUUAAACCGUGCGACUCGUUUUCCCAGAUGUGCACAUCUGCGGGGCGUUGACUCUCCACUCAGGUCCCCUAAUAUGAGUCGUAGUAACAUUCCAGAAAAGGAGAUUACUGUAAUCAGCGUUAUUGACGAUUGGCCUGAUGACAUUAUCAUUAAUACGUUUUCUGUAGAUAUCAUUUUGAUAGUGUGUGUUUGAUAUCGACCUCCCUAUUUAUGACCAUGUUCCCUUUGGUGUUUCUACAGCAGAGCUGCAAACCGUGAAUCUACUCAUCGUGGGAGUUCUGUGUAAACCGUCCUCGCUGGAAUCCUAGUGUCGUCAUGAAAUGAAAGUCAGCGGGGGGGCGGGGGGGGAGGGGCUCAUGCCCAAAGGUUAUGGGAGAGGGGAUCAGUGAAGACGAUGAAGAUCAUCUGCACGAUGAUGCAAACCUGCUUCGUGCUCUUCCAAAGGGACGCCAGCAGGCCGCCGCCAUCCCCGGGCGGGAGAAGAUGAAGAAGACGGUCAUGCAGACCGGGGAGUGUAAGUCACUGCUCUCAGAAGACACUUCAAGAGGGGGGGGGGCAUUAUCUAUUCAUCAAGCAGCCCUCCUUGCUGUUCCACCGGUGCUCUUUGUCACCCGGGUGUCCCGCCAGGAGUGUUCGGUCAGCAGUGCUGAGGGCAGCACAUUGGACUCGCAUCACAGCGUAAUCAGAUAUCCCCCCCCCACAUAUCACAUAGUUCUGCUUGGCUGGGCUCUGCUGAGACUUGCCAUGAUGUGGUCACGCACGCCUCCGGAUGCCCACGCACGCAUACGCGCCCACAGACGAGCUGACGUACGUGUGAAGGAAUCCACCACAAGGCCGCCGCUGCCGCUGCUGCUGCCGCUGCCGCUGCUGCCGCUGCCGCUGCU
This is a long non-coding RNA of Gasterosteus aculeatus aculeatus (three-spined stickleback), 2169 nucleotides long. The record is from Ensembl. Lineage: Eukaryota; Metazoa; Chordata; Actinopteri; Perciformes; Gasterosteidae.